GGCUCGGUAGCUCAGUCGGUAGAGCAGGGGAUUGAAAAUCCCCGUGUCGGCGGUUCGAUUCCGUCCCGAGCCACCU
RNAcentral lists this transfer RNA (76 nucleotides) under Verrucomicrobiales bacterium. Its description in RNAcentral is "tRNA-Phe". It matches the Rfam family "tRNA". Rfam says of the family: Transfer RNA (tRNA) molecules are approximately 80 nucleotides in length. Lineage: Bacteria; Pseudomonadati; Verrucomicrobiota; Verrucomicrobiia; Verrucomicrobiales. The record is from RNAcentral.